AGGUGCUCAGACUGCUUGGUUUGAGUUGAACGGGAACGAGGUGGAGGCCGCGUGAAUUCGCUGUCUCGCAAGCCUCGGCUGCCCCCGCAACGGUAGGCGAGUGUGGGUGCGUCAGGGGGCCUCCAAAUGCGGAGGCGCCAGUCACUGGACCCUUGAGGCCUGGGAAGACGACGCAUCAAGUCUCGCAAGCCCGGAUACCGGCCAGAGCA
Molecule: non-coding RNA, 209 nt
Filed under: uncultured Roseateles sp.
Lineage: Bacteria; Pseudomonadati; Pseudomonadota; Betaproteobacteria; Burkholderiales; Sphaerotilaceae
Source: RNAcentral